This 224-nucleotide ribosomal RNA is filed under the name Salmonella enterica. RNAcentral's name for it is "partial 23S ribosomal RNA". It matches the Rfam family "Bacterial large subunit ribosomal RNA", at positions 1 to 225 of the family's 2925-position model. The record is from RNAcentral. Lineage: Bacteria; Pseudomonadati; Pseudomonadota; Gammaproteobacteria; Enterobacterales; Enterobacteriaceae.
GGUUAAGCGACUAAGCGUACACGGUGGAUGCCCUGGCAGUCAGAGGCGAUGAAGGGCGUGCUAAUCUGCGAUAAGCGCCGGUAAGGUGAUAUGAACCGUUAUAACCGGCGAUACCCGAAUGGGGAAACCCAGUGUGACUCGUCACACUAUCAUUAACUGAAUCCAUAGGUUAAUGAGGCGAACCGGGGGAACUGAAACAUCUAAGUACCCCGAGGAAAAGAAAU